This 1194-nucleotide long non-coding RNA is filed under the name Anser brachyrhynchus (Pink-footed goose). RNAcentral's name for it is "lncRNA (ENSABRG00000018176.1)". The record is from RNAcentral. Lineage: Eukaryota; Metazoa; Chordata; Aves; Anseriformes; Anatidae.
AUUUAGUGAUAGCUGGCUUCUGAGUGAUAUUUACCUAAGCUCUCCUUUUUUAUUGGUAUUUUCCAGACUGCAAACAUAACAGAAAGUUCUGUCCAUGUGACUCCAAGAUAUUGCAGGUGACUGUCAGCUUGAUGCAGAAAUUCACUUUGUCUCACUGCAUCACAGUUUAUGAAGUACAAUGCAAAUUCUUUGGUCUUUAGGGCAUGUCAUUUCCAUGUUCAGUUUUUGAAAUUAAUUUACACCAUUGCAAGACAAAGAAAGUGGAAAUUUUCCUGCUGUCAUACCCACCUCUGUUACCAGCCUUCCCUUUCGUUUCAGCAGUGUCUAGCAGGGAGCCCUUAUCUGCAUAUGAUGUUCACAAAGGGCCUGCUGGAACAUCCAAGUCCAGUCUGCACUUGUGAAGCACCUGCUCUGCAGGACUCUUAUCGAUAAUCCACCCAGAAAUGGGACAUGAUUUCUGCUGGCAAAAGAAAUGAGCAAGUCAUUAUCCAGGAUUGAUGGUUAACUUAGCCAUUUAAUGAUGUAUAAGAGGAGCUAAAUGACUUUUUUUGGUUUUACAGUUUGUACUUGCUCUUUAUAUUUCAUUAUUGUUUAAAAAAAAAAGCUAUUAUUUGCGUUUAUCUUGUAAUACAUAAUCUUUGUAAGAUGAGAAAGAUGAGUAAUCACUGGUCAUAUCAGGUUCUCAUUUUCUCACCUUCACUCUGGGGACUUCUACUAAGGAGAGGACAAAUUCCUUCUGGGAUAUGUUGAUGCUUGCAUUUUCCAGUGAAGUUAUGCUUACAAUGUUGAUAUAGAGGUGAACCCAAGCAGUUCUUCUCAUAAAGCUUCCAACUGUAACCGUUCUCCAGAAUGCUUUGACAAAUAGAGCUGUGGUUUCUGUACAGCUGAAACCAAACAAUGGAGAUGUAAUGAAACUUUGGGUUCUGUGGAUAUCUCCUGACAAGGGAUGGCUGAUUUGAUGUAAGGAGCUGAUCAGAUGGAAAUAAUCAGUGAACCAAAUAUUAUACUUUGCAGUGUGUGUACAAUUGCCUUGGUAGCUUUCAAAAGAGCAUAUUUAUCCUUGUAGUUGGGGAUUUUAAGAAGUUCACCUUGUUCUUGUGCCUCAAAAACUAUCUUCAUUCUUUAAGCCCAAGACAUGUUCAUACUUUGUAGAUUUAGUAAAAUAAAAAAGGGCUUUUUUCUUUGUGGAUGUCA